Molecule: long non-coding RNA, 1432 nt
Filed under: Homo sapiens (human)
Lineage: Eukaryota; Metazoa; Chordata; Mammalia; Primates; Hominidae
Description: long intergenic non-protein coding RNA 658
Source: RNAcentral
GAUCUCUCUCUCUGCGGAAGCCAGCCACCGCUCUCCAAGGACUCUCGAGCAGCUCCAUCUACAGAUUCACAUGGAGAAGAAUUAAGGGUUCCUGCCAAUCACCAGCACCACUUUGCCAGCCUUGUAAGUGGGCCACCUUGGAAUUGGAGCCUCCAGUUCCUACUGACAUCUGACUGCAACAUCAUGAGAGACCCUGAGUUUGAACCACCCAGCUGAGCUGCUUCUGAGCUAACCCACUGAAACCGUGAAAGUACCUGAAUGAAACAACACCCAGUAGCCACUAGCACACCUAGCUCCCAGAUCUGUUUUUGAUGCCAUUCUUCAGUAAAAGGAAGCAAGGCUGCUUGGAGAAAUUGCUAUCAAGGACUGGGGUAGAAAAUAUACAAGAUGAAAUUGGAGCAUCUUGUAGUGCUUGAAAACAGUUGGCAUCUGUGUGAAGAUGUGAAUGGAGGAGGCAGAGUAGGCAGUGAGUGCCGCAGCCACAGCUUGUGUUCUCUGCAGCCCUGGCACAGAAGAUAGGAACACUCAUGGGGGAUGCGGCCACUGUGAUGUCUUCCCACACAAGAAGUGCCAAGUGCUUUUCUCAUGCUUUUCUGGAUUGUCCCAUGGUGGACGAGUCAGCAGGAGUGAGAUGGAGCAGCACAGUAGAGGGCACCUGCUCUGUUUUGUCCCAGGCCAGGAUAUCGUUGUACAUAUUCUCAGCUAAGUGAGCACCAAUAGAGGAGAGGGAGAGUCUCAUGGAAGUUCCUUCUAAGCCUUUGGCUCUUUUUACCUUCAACAAGGUUCCUUAGAUCCUGGGAUGAGGAGGUGGACCAGCAGAAGGUGGGCUUGUGAAGGCAGCCCGGGGUCCAAAUCCUCCUGGCUCUUCAGCUUAGCGGGUUAGUUAACAUUCAGAAGCCUUCAUCUCCCAUCUGCAAAAUGGGCAUGUCCAACUCAGAAGCUGCCUUGAAGAAAGGGUCUACCCAGCAUGGUGCGUGGAGCCUAAGCAGUCAGUACUUCAGGACUUCACCCGGCCCCUUUCCAAUAACUGCUGCUGUCGCCCUCACAGGAUGUCACCUUCAGCGUCUGAAAGCUGGGUUUGAUGCGUCUGGAAAGGCGUCCCUGACAGGCGUCGUUGCCAGGAGCCCCUAGUGCCACCAGCAGCCAGCAGGGGAGGGCGUCCUCUGCCCGCUCACUUCUGACCCUUCUCUCGUUGCACCCGGAACAUGGUGCAGCUGGGAGCAGCCUGGGCUGCGCGGAAGGCUCAGAUUUGGGGACGGCCCUUGCCAGUGACUGUGAGCUGGGGUGUCUUGGAAACUCCCAGUCUCAGCUUCUCCAUUUAUAAGAUGAGAAUGAUCAUACCAGACUCAGGCAAGGUUGUUUGUGCAUUAGUGAAAUCAGACGUAUUAAAUAAAGUACCACAUUGAUCGUGGAGUUGUUGAAUAACCAAGAA